RNAcentral lists this long non-coding RNA (1785 nucleotides) under Sus scrofa (pig). Its description in RNAcentral is "lncRNA (ENSSSCG00050061557.1)". Lineage: Eukaryota; Metazoa; Chordata; Mammalia; Artiodactyla; Suidae. The record is from RNAcentral.
CUUUUUUUUUUUUUUUUUUUUUUUUUUGUCUUUUGUCUUUUUAGGGCCGCACUAGCAGCAUAUGGAGGUUCCUGGGCAAGGGGUCUAAUUGGAGCUGUUAUUGCUGGCCUAUGCCAGAGCCACGGCAAUGCCAGAUUCGAGCCACGUCUGCAACCCACAUCACAGCUCACAGCAACGCUGGAUCCUUAACCUACUGAGCAAGGCCAGGGAUCAAACCAGCAACUUCAUGGUUCCUAGUCAGAUUCAUUAACCACUGAACCACAAAGGGAACUCUGCAAGUGAAUUUUUAUAUUGUAGAUCAUUCUCCUUAAGCCUGUUUUUGCAUUAUCAUUGCAUUUUCCUCAGUUCCCCUCUACAGUCAUAUGAAUCUAUUUGUGGUUCUUUUAUUUCAUAGAUAUUAUAUGCACGAUUGUUUACUGUAAUAGGAUGGUGGAUUCCACAAGGAAUUUUGUCCUUGUAUUUUAGUUUACUUGUAUUUUUCUCCACCCUCUAUAGCAUUGGGAUGGAUUUGAUAAUAUUCAAUUUCCUUAAUUAUAUCAUUACUAAAGAUACAGAAACUGGACCAAGUAUGAGACAAGGUCCAGAGAGUUCAACAGUACAGGCGGUGUCAAAGAUGAAGAGACUUUGAGACUUGCUGGAAUGUGAUUAAAAUCUUCAGGAACCACUCAAAACUGUGAUGCUCAGAGAAAGGAAAAGACAAAAGAUCACUCUGUAUAGGAACAUGAUUGUGUUACUUCAAUUUUCACAAUCUUUCAGUUAGUUUACAUAGUACUGAUGUAUAUUAUAAGCUAUUACUUACAACAAGUCUGCUAUUAAUGUCCAAACUUUUAAACUGAAGCUGGAAUAGAAAAAAAAAAAAAACAUUAGAAUGGGGAGCUCCCAUUGUGGCACAGCCAAAAUGAAUCCAACUAGGAACCAUGAGGAAGAGAGAGGCAUACUGUAUGGUAAAUGUAAUUCUUUGAAAGCAAAGUUAUAAAACAGAAAGAAAACUAACCCAGUAUUAAUUUUUUAUUAAAUGUCACUCACAUUAUGCCUAUUUAAGGGUAGGUUUUCCAGUUUAAUACAGGGACACAAUGUUCUAUAUAAUGAAUACUUAAGGGAUGAUGAUGACAAAAAAAGUUCUUAACAGUUUUUGCUGUUAAGUUUAUUAGAUUUUUCACUCAAAGAUACUCACAGACAUAUAUAAGAGACGAGUUUUUUUUAACUGUACAACAUGAUGACUUACUUUUCAUUAAAUGAAACUGGAUCAUCAUAAAAGCCUUCAACCUCAUUGUCUUCAUGUAGAGUAGAUUGAGGAGGAAGAAGAGGGGACUGGUCUUGCUGUCUCAGAGGUUGCAGGGAAGGCAGGAGAGGCAGGCACACUGUGUAAAUUUACACAAAUACAUCAUAAUUUUUUCCUGAUUUUUGGUUUUCCAUUUCUCUAAAACUGUUCCAUACAGUACCAAUUCUUCUUCUACCAUUUGCUUUAGGUUCAGCACCCAUAUCAUAGGAGGGUCCACAUUGUGAAGUCAAAAGUAAUCUUGAAUAGUUGAAACUUUAUGCUAGAUUGCCUAACAUCAAUUUGUUUUCUGGCAUUGCUUCUACAUCUUCUCCCUCAUCGUCUGGCACUGGUUCAGAAGCAUUCAUAUCCAUCAACCUGUCAUCUGUUAAUUCCUCCAGUGUGGUGUCUACUAGCUCUUGAAUUUCUCUAAGAUCCAUAUCCUGAAACACAGACCCACGCUUUUUUUUUUUUUUUUUUUUUUUUUUGCCAUAUCCACAAUUAUUUUCACGAUUUCGUUGACUGGC